This 66-nucleotide small nucleolar RNA is filed under the name Trypanosoma cruzi. RNAcentral's name for it is "C/D small nucleolar RNA (snoRNA)". Lineage: Eukaryota; Euglenozoa; Kinetoplastea; Trypanosomatida; Trypanosomatidae. The record is from RNAcentral.
CCAGCAGUAAAUGCCUCGUUCCUCGUUCACGCGAGUCGGCAUUGCACAGCAGGCAGAGGCACCAUG